UACGUAGGGGGCGAGCGUUGUCCGGAAUCAUUGGGCGUAAAGAGCGUGUAGGCGGCCAUUCAAGUCCUGCGUGAAAUCUCGCGGCUCAACCGUGAGCGGUCGUGGGAAACUGGGUGGCUAGAGUGCGGGAGAGGAGAGUGGAAUUCCCGGUGUAGCGGUGAAAUGCGCAGAUAUCGGGAAGAACACCCGUGGCGAAGGCGGCUCUCUGGAACGCAACUGACGCUGAGACGCGAAAGCGUGGGGAGCAAACAGG
RNAcentral lists this ribosomal RNA (253 nucleotides) under uncultured bacterium. RNAcentral's name for it is "partial 16S ribosomal RNA". It matches the Rfam family "Bacterial small subunit ribosomal RNA", at positions 524 to 776 of the family's 1533-position model. The record is from RNAcentral.